GAUGAACGCUGGCGGCGUGCCUAAUACAUGCAAGUCGAGCGAACGGACGAGAAGCUUGCUUCUCUGAUGUUAGCGGCGGACGGGUGAGUAACACGUGGAUAACCUACCUAUAAGACUGGGAUAACUUCGGGAAACCGGAGCUAAUACCGGAUAAUAUUUUGAACCGCAUGGUUCAAAAGUGAAAGACGGUCUUGCUGUCACUUAUAGAUGGAUCUGCGCUGCAUUAGCUAGUUGGUAAGGUAACGGCUUACCAAGACAACGAUGCAUAGCCGACCGGAGAGCGUGAUCGGCCACACUGUAACUGAGACACGGUCCACACUCCUACGGUAGGCAGCAGUAGGGAAUCUUCCGCAAUGGGCGAAAGCCUUACGGAGCAACGCCGCGUGAGUGAUGAAGGUCUUCGGAUCGUAAAACUCUGUUAUUAGGGAAGAACAUAUGUGUAAUUAACUGUGCACAGCUUGACGGUACCUAAACAGAAAGCCACGGCUAACUACGUG
RNAcentral lists this ribosomal RNA (497 nucleotides) under uncultured bacterium. RNAcentral describes it as "partial 16S ribosomal RNA". It matches the Rfam family "Bacterial small subunit ribosomal RNA", at positions 28 to 507 of the family's 1533-position model. The record is from RNAcentral.